CUGUUACUUAAUAUACACAUGCGAGUCUCCGCACCCCCGUGAAAACGCCCUUACCCCAUAUAAUGGAUUAGGAGCCGGUAUCAGGCGCAAAAAUUAGCCCAAGACACCUAGCCCCGCCACACCCACACGGGCCCUCAGCAGUGAUUAACAUUGAAAAUAAGCGCCAGCUUGAAUCAGUUAAAGUAAAAAGAGCCGGCAAAUCUAGUGCCAGCCGCCGCGGUUAUACCAUGUGGCUCAAGCUGACUUCCUCCGGCGUAAAGCGUGAUUAAAGUGAUCUACCCCAGCAAUCAAAUUAAAAUUAAGCUGUGACACGCUUAUUCUUAAGAAGACCACAAACGAAAGUCAUUGCAACCAACUUGAACUCACGACAGUUAGGAAACAAACUGGGAUUAGAUACCCCACUAUGCCUAACCGUAAACUUUUAAUUACCCCCCCCCCCAUCGCCUGGGAACUACGAGCAAAGCUUAAAACCCAAGGGACUUGACGGUACCCAACAUCCACCUAGAGGAGCCUGUCCUAUAAUCGAUAACCCCCGCUUUACCUCACCAUUUUUAGCCUACCAGCCUGUAUACCUCCGUCGUCAGCUUACCCCGUGAGCGUAAACUAGUGAGCUUAAUGCCCCAACGCCAACACGUCAGGUCAAGGUGCAGCACAUAAAAUGGGAAGAGAUGGGCUACACUAUCUAAAAUAGAUAAUACGAAAGACUAUAUAUGAAAACCAGUCAGAAGGAGGAUUUAGUAGUAAGAGGGGACUAAAGUGCCCCCCUUAACCUGGCACUGGGGUGUGUACACACCGCCCGUCACCCUCUUCAAAGCACCAAUUAAGUUAAUUACAUAACUACGCACACUAGAAGAGGCAAGUCGUAACAUGGUAAGUAUACCGGAAGGUGUGCUUGGUUA
Molecule: non-coding RNA, 899 nt
Filed under: Dendropsophus bromeliaceus (Teresensis' bromeliad treefrog)
Lineage: Eukaryota; Metazoa; Chordata; Amphibia; Anura; Hylidae
Description: partial 12S ribosomal RNA
Rfam family: Bacterial small subunit ribosomal RNA
Source: RNAcentral